Molecule: ribosomal RNA, 301 nt
Filed under: uncultured bacterium
Lineage: Bacteria
Description: partial 16S ribosomal RNA
Rfam family: Bacterial small subunit ribosomal RNA
Source: RNAcentral
CAGCAGCCACGGUAAUACGGAGGGAGCUAGCGUUGUUCGGAAUUACUGGGCGUAAAGCGCACGUAGGCGGCUUUGUAAGUUAGAGGUGAAAGCCUGGAGCUCAACUCCAGAACUGCCUUUAAGACUGCAUCGCUUGAAUCCAGGAGAGGUGAGUGGAAUUCCGAGUGUAGAGGUGAAAUUCGUAGAUAUUCGGAAGAACACCAGUGGCGAAGGCGGCUCACUGGACUGGUAUUGACGCUGAGGUGCGAAAGCGUGGGGAGCAAACAGGAUUAGAUACCCGUGUAGUCCCUGUCUCUUAUAC